GACGAACGCUGGCGGCGUGCUUAACACAUGCAAGUCGAACGGACAGGCCCUGCUUUUGUUGGUUGCUCGAGUGCCGAACGGGUGAGUAACACGUGAGUAACCUGCCCUUGUCUUUCGGAUAACUUCAGGAAACUCCGGCUCAUAUCGCAUAUGAUCUCCUGCUGCAUGGUGUUGGUUGGAAAGUUUCGGCGGUUGUGGAUGGUUGCGAGGCUUAGCAGCUUGUUGGUCUGGUAGUUGCUUACCAAGGGUUUGAGGGGUAGCCGGCCUGGGAGGGUUACCGGGGACAUGGGGACUGAGAUAGGGACCAGAAGCGUACGGGAGGCAGCAGUGGAGAGUAUUACAGAGUGGGCGGGAGCCUGAUGCAGCGACGCCGCGUGCGGGAAGACGGCUUUCGGGGUGUAAACAGAUGUCGCAUGUGACGAAGCGGGAGUGACGGUAAUGGGUAAAGAAGCACCGGCUAACUACGUG
This 468-nucleotide ribosomal RNA is filed under the name uncultured bacterium. RNAcentral's name for it is "partial 16S ribosomal RNA". It matches the Rfam family "Bacterial small subunit ribosomal RNA", at positions 28 to 507 of the family's 1533-position model. The record is from RNAcentral.